GAUAAAAAGGAAGAAAGCCCACGUUCGGGCACCAGAAAGAAAAGAAAGAAAAGAAGAAGAAUAAUAAGGAGAAGAGAAAAGGGAAGAAAGGAAAAGGGUUUUGGCACGUGCACGCCACGGAUGCUUCGCCUAGCCGACUCUACUCCUUAACGCAGCACCCGAUUCGUCAGUUAACAGCGAAUAAAGCGAGUGCGCCGUCGGUGGAAAACUUUUUGGGGAGUUUUAUUUUUGGGUAUGGUCAAAGGAAAUGGUGUACAUAUUCCUUGCUAGUGGUUGGAUUGUCUGAGUUAUAAUUGUAUAUUUCUUUUUGGUGGAUUAUAGAAACUCUGAUAUUGCAACAAAUCUGUGGUCUAUCUGAUAUGUA
Molecule: long non-coding RNA, 364 nt
Organism: Eucalyptus grandis
Lineage: Eukaryota; Viridiplantae; Streptophyta; Magnoliopsida; Myrtales; Myrtaceae
Exons: 2
Source: RefSeq, a predicted model, not a curated record